This 303-nucleotide long non-coding RNA is filed under the name Junco hyemalis (dark-eyed junco). RNAcentral's name for it is "lncRNA (ENSJHYG00000015344.1)". Lineage: Eukaryota; Metazoa; Chordata; Aves; Passeriformes; Passerellidae. The record is from RNAcentral.
AGUGCUCAGACUCCAACUAAUCUAAAAUCAAAUAGGCCAGUUUCUUCUCCCUCUUGCUUCAGGUGAAACUGUCUGCAUUACAUCACCAUAUCCUGGAAAUCCAGGUCCCCCAGGUUUUAAAGGCGUUCAAGGACAAAAAGGUUUAAAAGGACUCCCUGGGCAUCCUGGACCAAAUGGCUUUGAUGGGCAAAAAGGCAAUCGAGGAAGGCCAGGAGCAGGAAUCCCUGGGCCAGAAGGUGAAUUGUGCUUUCCCUAAUUUGGGAAAGCUGCUGGGCAAGUUGUAAUGCAAGGAAAGAUAGAGUA